CCACCGCAUUACACUGACACUCGUGACAGAUGGAGAGUUGGUUCAGAGUAUUUAAUAUUACAGUACUGGAUUCACAAUAGCCUAUUGUCAUCAGUUUAUAUAGGGCUUUGCAAGCUAAUUCCAUCCAACAGUGGCCAACCAUUAUUGAGUGUCACUCCCAACAACAAUAGUAUCACCCUAUUUGGUAUAGUGUUGCACCCUAGUCAGUAUAUUCGAUCAUGUACUCCUUCUAAGAUUAGCACCAGUGGCCCCCAAGCUAUCUUGGCAAACCGCAGACCUUCUGGCAUCCACCUUGACAGAAAUAAAUACAUGGAAUGUCCUCAUCCUCCCAAUCCUUAUGCAGCUCAUAUGAUCAAAGACAUUAACAAAUACUUUAUAAAAAGACGUCAUAUCAGUCUGUCAGUGCAAGACUUUGGGGAUUUUCCCAGGGCACACAUGCAGGUAACGGCACUGACAGCCAAGUUGCGUAGGUGGUAGCGGAACUAUAAAUUCGAUGUAUAUCAUUAAGAAGAAAUAAGGUUACUUUAGACUUUGUAGUCGUGGUUUGAUAUGGAGACGUGCGCAAGGAACCGCGAGAUUCCUGAAGACACCGUGAUUUCAAUGGCGCAGCAAGAGACUGUUUUUCUUUUGCUCAAACACUGUCAAGAAAUGAAGCGACAGGAGAGUCGCUGGCGUCUUGUCACGUUAUUCUUGGUUCUGGGCUAUGCAGCUGUAUUUUUCUUUACGCAGCGUGUGAUCAGAGACUGUAUUGAGAAGGUAAGCAAUGGGACAUCCACAUGUUUUUAACGGGGCACACAAAUGCCGGAGAGCUUUGGCAUUGGAUUUAAAUGGAACCUUAACUUCUGUGGGUCACCAUUAAUAGUUAACUUGUCUUUGUUUUUGUAGGAUACAUUCACAACUGCAGAAAACUCAAGACAGCAAGCUAUAGAUCGUCAAGGACAGAAUCUGAAGCCAAACGCUCACCUGACAACAUCAUCAAGCUGCAACUCCGUGCCUAAAGACUACAUCCAAUGGGAACACCAGGACACUGGCUUGGUGCACAUGCAGAAUUUCACCUAUGACGAGAGCAAGCAAGCUCUGGUUGUCCCUCAGGAAGGCCGAUACUAUGUCUAU
Coregonus clupeaformis (lake whitefish) is the source of this 1113-nucleotide long non-coding RNA. RefSeq lists it as uncharacterized. The transcript is spliced from 3 exons. NCBI's taxonomy places the organism in Eukaryota, Metazoa, Chordata, Actinopteri, Salmoniformes, Salmonidae. The record is from RefSeq and is a predicted model, not a curated record.